This is a non-coding RNA of Microcebus murinus (gray mouse lemur), 5729 nucleotides long. The record is from RefSeq and is a predicted model, not a curated record. NCBI's taxonomy places the organism in Eukaryota, Metazoa, Chordata, Mammalia, Primates, Cheirogaleidae.
GGAGCUCCUGGAAUCACGUGGCAGAAUUAGGCAUGGGUUAUGGUUCCUUUCAUGGAGUCAGAUUCUCCAAGAAUGGUGUAAAUGUCAGUUUCAUGAAAAUCCAUCCUAAAAGCCCCGAUCGACUUCUCCAUUAUCUGCCCCCCCUUUUCCUCCCAGCUCUCCCGAGCGCCCAAGGCGAUUCUGAGAUCAGAGAGCAUAAUUACAAAUGAACUGGGGCUCUGGGGACGCCUUACAGCUUAAUUAGCUCCCGUCCCUGCGCUGUCUCCAUGGCCCAGCCUCAUGCUCCGUGCCGGAGUCCUGGCUGCCAAAGAAUUCAGAGCAGGGGCCUCUCGGCUUGUUAGCAUGCUUCCCUCGGUCCCUCCUGACGCUCACAUCCAGGCUGCAAUUAGGCCCAGCUGAGGAGACAGGAGACGGAGAGGCCUGAGCCGCUCCCUGCCUCUGCCGCGCAUCCGGAGCUGGCUGGGGGCUGCUGCCUGCCCGGACUGGCCCGGAGGUGAAGCGCACCUUGGAAUGCGGAGUGGCGGCGGCUGCAGGGCCUGCACCUGCUCUGCCCAGCCCAGGUCAGGAGGCUGCGGGCUGCAGGUGGGAGGCUAGCCAGAAAGGGCUCAGUCCCUCUCGGGCACACAGGCUUCAGGCGCAGUCGGGAAACAAAACAGCCCAGGAAUGCAGGAUUACACUUGACUAUGAAGCAAGUCAUCCCAGAAGUCCCAGGCAGGUGAUAAACGUGGCCAGUCCACUGGCAGCUGCCGCCAAGCCCCCGGCUCUUAGUGAUGAACCUUCAGACGUCUGGAACAUGAAAUGAACUUCCUUGGCGAGCUUCUCUGCACCCCGAGGACGGCCUCCUGCAGACACGCCCAGGCCAGCCCCUCCUGCCCUUGCCUGGGUGGGGUCAUCACUCUAACAGACUUUCCCCGGAGAGCUGUGUUGCCUUUGGCCCUCCUGUGCUGUUUUCCCUCCCACAGCCUGAAGGGUUUGGAGAAUUCCACCCUCUGCUGUUGCUUGAAGAUCUACUUCUCUGCCCAGGCAAUUCUCAAUCCCUUUCCAGUAUUUCUCAUCAUGGAUUCACAAGUUUUCAUUUUAAAGGUAAGCCUUCCUUCCCCGCCACUCACAACAUUUAGAAACAAAAGAUACACAAAUAAUGGGGAAGCCCCACAGUCCCCAGCAAACCCGAAAUAUCUUGGAUGCAGGCCUUUCAUGGCCAGCCUUUGUCCCAGCCCUGAGGGACACUGGUGUGGAAUUCUGCAGGGACGGCAUAAUGACCCAGACGCUAUGCUGAGCCCCUGCAUCUGCCAUCGUUUUGCAGAGUUUUCAUCAGGAAAGCCUGAGGGGAAGCCAUCCCUCCUGUCAUUUUUGUUUUAACGCCCAGCUAACUUCUUUCAGAGGUCUCUAGAACUCUCUAUAAAAGACUGAGAGGAUUCGGGGAGUCCAGGCUUGAUGAUGCCAUCCCAGCAUCUCUGAAUCUGAGAUGGGCGGCCCGCUACCUACCAUUUUUAUCAUCCUGGGUACCACAGCCUUCUCCCAUUGUGAGGUUAGAUGACAUAAUUAGGUCUCACUGGAAAUCACCAGAAGCACCUGAGUCUUAUGUGGGUCAGGAGUCCAUAGCAGCCCGAGUGAGACUGCUUUAGUUCAGUGACUCAGGGGAGCAGGAGGCUGAUAUGAGUUAUAACAGUCACCAGGCACUUGACACUGUGCGCAUUUAAUGUGUCCCCACCUAAUCUUUACUGAAACCCCAUGAAGUGGAUCCUGUGACUAUCCUGGUAAACAGAUGAGGACAACAGGGCUCAGAGAGCUACACAACGUGCCGGGGUCCCACAGCUGCAGAGCGGAGACCCCGGAUACAAAACUGCUCUCCCCUCGUCCUGUGGACUUGCUGUAACCUCUGCCACCGUGGCCACAGGGCCCAUCUGUGGGUACUGGGCCCAGAUGAGGCAGACAACUUGAAAGGAAUUUCUCUGUCAGGUAUCAGAAACCAUGAUUAAAAUGUGAACAAAUGAAAGCAGAUGAAUCAUUUUCUCUGACUUAGGUUUUCUGUCUGUGAACCAGGUUAUUAAGAAGCCUAAAUGAGAAAAUCUGCACAAAGGGCCAGGCCCAGAGUCAGAGCUCUGUAGGGUCAAUUGCAAUUAAUCAUAUAUGAGAUGACACUUAUAAAACACAUGGAAGAGAGCCUGGCACAUACAAUGUGUCCAAUAAAUAGUAUUGCUUGUUUUUACUAAUAUUUUCUGUCCUUCAUUAGAGCUACACUGAGCCUCCUGCUUCUUAAAAUACCCAUUUGCUGUGAAAGUUCCACUCGCUGCCCUGCUUUUCCAGGACACAGUGGGCAACAAAUCAGGCAUCUAUGGACCAGUUUAGGGUCCUACCUGCAAUUGUUAAUAUUAUUUCUGGGGGAGGAAACAUGUGUUCUGAGUUCUGAGUAACUGACUUAUCCAUUGUUUGAAAACAAAGCCCAUUUGUAGCUAUGGAAAACCUUUGAUUUUCACACACUUUGUGAGGGGGCACAGAAACCUUUGUUCUAAUAAUACCUUACAUGCUAACCUAAGAUAUAAAUCAGAUUUUGCAAUGAAUGGGGACGGUUGAGGUCAAGAGGGUAGAGGUGACAAGAGCCUGCCCUCCGUACCAUGAUUCUGCCAAACGUGGUAUAGGAGACCCAGCUCACCCUCUUAUGGACUUCUGAAGACUGGUUGGAUUAUUUGGUUUAUUGAGAAUGGCUGUGUCUCCACCACAUGGGGAUAUUUAGGCCACAUGAGAUGUCUUUGAUUGGAAGCACUGUCUUAUUUUGAAUAUGCCUCCGUUAAGCAGAAGUAAUCAUUUCAUCAUGAUGGCAGGUUAACGGGGUAUCCGCUGAACCCAGAGAUAUUGCCGAUAUUGCUUUCCACGGAUCAAACAAGGUAGAUCAAAGUCGAGAUUUUCAAAAUUCUCUUGUAAAAGGAAAUUUCUCCAGGCAAAACUUUGAGGUUUUCACAGGCCUGAAAACUAGCCUUGACUUUUUUCUGGCAACAAUAACAUAAAAACCCUUUUAUUUGUGCCAAGCAGGAAUAUAUUUCUUCUCAGAAACUAUUUUAUAGAUUACAUGUCAUUUUCUACUUUCUUUUUCAUUCUUGUAGUAAUUAUCUUCGUUUAAGAAAAUGUCGGCACAGCAUAUAGUAGGCAUGUUCUGGCAGAUAAGCACGGCAAGCCAACCCAGAGAGGGAGCUAGGUUGUUUCUGUAACCCUUCUAAAUCCAGGGAGCCACGUGGCUAAAUCUCAGGGCAGCACUGUAUUCAAGAAUCCAUAGUCUUUUGGCCAAGAAAGUAUUUAAAAAGGAAUUCCAAACCUUACUGGGGCUUCUCAAAAACUGUGACAGGAAUCCAAAUACAGAGUCUACAGCAACAAUUUCUUCUUUGCUCACCAGCGCCCUGUGCCCACCCUGCCAGCUUUCUGGAGCGUCUCUCUCUCCAUAGGUUUCCCAAAACUUUCUUCACAACAGCCCUGCACUGAGGUGGCAACUGUAGGAUCAUCUUGGGUGGGCAAAGGAAAGGUGGUGGGGAGGAAAGUCUGAAUUGUCCCUCUUCAUCUUAAUAACUUUGGUGUGAGGUUUCCUGUGUGUUCUAAAUUACAUCCUUAUUAUUGCCUGCUUUUGUGCACAGUACAAACAGAUUAUACAACCUGAUGUACUAUAGCAGCCUGAACCAGAUAGUUCAGUGGAACAAUAUUUAGUUCUCUUUAGUUUCUAGGAGCCCAAAUAGCAAAGAAAAUCUGAUCCUGGUAACAAUAAUGGAUUAUAGCCACUCUUUUUCAUAGGAUAAAUGAAAGACUCCAGGUAUCUUUCUAUUUGUACAUGGUUACUCCACUGUAAUUAAGGUCAAAUAAAGUAGAGGCAGUUAUUAUGCUGAAAAUGCAGUGAGAGGCUUCUGGUUUCCAGUCCAACAUGUAAAGAGCUUAGAAUAGACCACUCUAUCCUAUAAAUGAGUGAAAAGAUGAACAACCUGAAAAAUCAAUAGCUUUCCUCAGAUCUGUCAGAAGAGUAAGGGCACAAGGCAAACAGCUGCCCACAAAAUUGAAGAGACAGACAGGUGGAUAUAGAGAAUCACAAUUUACAGAGCAGAAACUCACAAGUAGAAACCUCUGUGGGAACAAGUACCAGGAUAGGAAAGCCUAAAGUGUAACUGAAAAUGUUGAGAGAAAAACCCACCAACCUAGAAUUCUACACCCUGCAAAACUAUCCUUCAAAAUGGAAGGAGAAAUAAAGACUUUUUCAGACAAACAAAAGUUGAGAGAAUUUAUUGUUACUAUAUUGUCUUCUUGUUUCCAGUGUUGCUAUUUGGAAGACUGAAGCCAUUCUAGUUCCUGAUCCUUUGUAAGGAACCUUCUCCCCACCCCUCUGAAAGUCUAUAGAACCCUCUGAAAUCUUACAGGAUCUUUCUUUUGCCCCCAGUAUUCUGAUAUUUCACAAUGGUCAUCCUGGGUCUAUUUUAAACUAUGGUGUUGGGUACUUGCUAAAUCAUUACAGUGUAGAAAUUCAUAUUCUUUGUUUAUAAGAAAUUUUCUUGAAUUAUUUUAUUGACAAUAUUUUUGCUUUUAUUUUCUUUUUGAAACUUGGAUAAUGAACUUUCUGAACUGGCCUUUAAUUUGCUAAUCUCAUCUCUCCUAUUUUCUAUUCUCAUGCUUUUUGCUCUACAUUCUGUGAGAUUUCCUCAAGUUUAUUUUCCAACAUUUCUAUUGGGUUUCAGAUAUCUUGUAUGUGUGUGUAUUCAUGUGUGUGUGAAUAUUCAAGAGCUCUUUUCAUUCUCUGAAUAUUCCUUUUAAUUUUCUCCUAUUUUUCAUCCAUGGAUUCACUAUAUUCUCAUAUCUCUGAGGAUAUUGAUACUGCUUUUGAAUCUUCUAUUUGCAACUUCCCUAUUUCCUCUAAUUUUUGACUUUUUAAAACUGAUACAUAAUUGUACAUACUAUGGGGUACAGUGUGAUGUUUUAAUAUGUGCAUACAUUGUGUAAAAAUCAAAUCAGGGUUUUCAGCAUAUUCAUCAGCACACAUAUUUAUUAUUUCUGUAUGGUAAGAACAUUCAAAAUCCUCUCUUCUAGCUAUUUUGAAAUAGACAAUAUUGUUAACCAUACUCACCCUACUGCGCAAUACAAUACCAGAACUUACUCCUAUCUAACCAUAGCUUGACUCAUCUCUCACUAUCCCCUCAUUUUCCUUUCCUCCCCUCUCUAGCCUUCUUUAACCACUAUUUUACUCUCUGCUUACAAGAAAUCUACUUCAUUUUCAUGUUACAGGCUUUUCCCACUGUCUGGUGGUCCUGGUUUUCCUCUUGUAACUAAGAGUGGGACAUUAAAAAGUUGAUUAGACAACAUGACUUUGAAAUGGAGCAACAAACUCAAACGACUAUACUGCCUGAUUUCAAAACUUCCUCAAAAGUCACAGCAAUCAACUGUGGCAUUAGACAUAUUGACCAAUGGAAAAGAACAGAGUCCAAAAAUGGAGCCAUAUAGUCAAUUUUUGACAAAGAUGCCAGGGUAAUUCAAAGCGGCAAAGCAUAGUCCAUUCAACAAAUGGUGCUAGAAUAACUCAAUAUCCAUGUAGUUAAACAAAAUGAACCUCAGCCCUUACUUGACUUCAUAUGCAAAAACUCUAGUGGAUCAUAGAUGUAAGCAUACAAGAUAAAAUUAUAAAACUUCCAUAAUCAUAAAAGGAAAUCUUUUUGAUCUUGGGAAGGUUUCUUAAAUAGGACACCAAAAACAUAAAAUAAAAGAUA